RNAcentral lists this ribosomal RNA (488 nucleotides) under Enterobacter hormaechei subsp. steigerwaltii. Its description in RNAcentral is "bacterial SSU rRNA". It matches the Rfam family "Bacterial small subunit ribosomal RNA", at positions 45 to 522 of the family's 1533-position model. The record is from RNAcentral. Lineage: Bacteria; Pseudomonadati; Pseudomonadota; Gammaproteobacteria; Enterobacterales; Enterobacteriaceae.
GGCCUAACACAUGCAAGUCGAACGGUAACAGGAAGCAGCUUGCUGCUUCGCUGACGAGUGGCGGACGGGUGAGUAAUGUCUGGGAAACUGCCUGAUGGAGGGGGAUAACUACUGGAAACGGUAGCUAAUACCGCAUAACGUCGCAAGACCAAAGAGGGGGACCUUCGGGCCUCUUGCCAUCGGAUGUGCCCAGAUGGGAUUAGCUAGUAGGUGGGGUAACGGCUCACCUAGGCGACGAUCCCUAGCUGGUCUGAGAGGAUGACCAGCCACACUGGAACUGAGACACGGUCCAGACUCCUACGGGAGGCAGCAGUGGGGAAUAUUGCACAAUGGGCGCAAGCCUGAUGCAGCCAUGCCGCGUGUAUGAAGAAGGCCUUCGGGUUGUAAAGUACUUUCAGCGGGGAGGAAGGCGAUAAGGUUAAUAACCUUGUCGAUUGACGUUACCCGCAGAAGAAGCACCGGCUAACUCCGUGCCAGCAGCCGCGGUA